This 500-nucleotide ribosomal RNA is filed under the name uncultured bacterium. RNAcentral's name for it is "partial 16S ribosomal RNA". It matches the Rfam family "Bacterial small subunit ribosomal RNA", at positions 30 to 523 of the family's 1533-position model. The record is from RNAcentral.
AUUGAACGCUGGCGGCAUGCCCUACACAUGCAAGUCGAACGGCAGCGCGGACUUCGGUCUGGCGGCGAGUGGCGAACGGGUGAGUAAUACAUCGGAACGUACCCUGUUGUGGGGGAUAACUAGUCGAAAGAUUAGCUAAUACCGCAUACGACCUGAGGGUGAAAGUGGGGGACCGCAAGGCCUCACGCAGCAGGAGCGGCCGAUGUCUGAUUAGCUAGUUGGUGGGGUAAAGGCCCACCAAGGCAACGAUCAGUAGCUGGUCUGAGAGGACGAUCAGCCACACUGGGACUGAGACACGGCCCAAACUCCUACGGGAGGCAGCAGUGGGGAAUUUUGGACAAUGGGGGCAACCCUGAUCCAGCAAUGCCGCGUGUGUGAAGAAGGCCUUCGGGUUGUAAAGCACUUUUGUCCGAAGAGAAAUCGCGCUGGUUAAUACCUGGCGUGGAUGACGGUACCGGAAGAAUAAGCACCGGCUAACUACGUGCCAGCCGCCGCAGUAA